RNAcentral lists this ribosomal RNA (584 nucleotides) under Geastrum parvisporum. RNAcentral's name for it is "eukaryotic LSU rRNA". The stretch from base 183 to 337 matches the Rfam family "5.8S ribosomal RNA". The record is from RNAcentral. Lineage: Eukaryota; Fungi; Basidiomycota; Agaricomycetes; Geastrales; Geastraceae.
CAUUACUGAAGAUUGAUAGGGUUUUGAGACUGCGUCUUAAUUGGCGUGUGCUCGACUCUUAUUCUUUUCAUCCAUCCACACCUUUGUGCACUAAUAAGGGACCCGAGAGGGUCUCCUUUUCAUUAUAAACACAAAGUUAUAUGCAUGUAUUUGAUGCUCUACGGAGUAAUAUAACAAUAUACAACUUUCAACAACGGAUCUCUUGGCUUUCGCAUCGAUGAAGAACGCAGCGAACGUGCGAAACGUAAUGUGAAUUGCAGAAUUCAGUGAAUCAUCGAAUCUUUGAACGCAUCUUGCGCUCCUUGGCAUUCCGAGGAGCAUGCCUGUUUGAGUGUCGUGAAAUACUCUCAAUUUCAAUCUCUUUUGUUUGAAAUUGGACUUGAAUGACGCUGUGUGCCCUUCACAGCCCAUUCUAAAUACAUUAGCGAUCUGGGUUUGAUCACAUACAAUGUGAUAAGUUAAAACAAAGCAUUGUAAAAGAUUGAAUGUCUCAGAUAGCUUCUAACUGUCGAAAGACAAAAAGCAUACAUGUCAUUUGACCUCAAAUCAGGUAGGACUACCCGCUGAACUUAAGCAUAUCAAUA